GAGUGCAGAGCCCAUCGCUGCGUCAAGGCUGCUUACGGGAGACCUCUUGCCGCUUGCGUCUUGGCUCAGCGGUGCGAUUUGCAAAU
RNAcentral lists this microRNA precursor (86 nucleotides) under Petromyzon marinus (sea lamprey). RNAcentral describes it as "microRNA pma-mir-4572 precursor". Lineage: Eukaryota; Metazoa; Chordata; Hyperoartia; Petromyzontiformes; Petromyzontidae. The record is from miRBase by way of RNAcentral.